GUCGGAGGUCGAUGAUCAACUUUGUAGUCGUUUCUUCUGACCUUCGGCCAUAUGUCUUGGACACUCGGGUGAAGAGAGGGGCUGAGCUGUCAACUGAUCACCACCUGGUGGUGAGCUGGAUUCGAUGGCGGGGGAAAGAGCUGGACAGACCUGGCAGGCCCAAACGCAUAGUGAGGGUCUGUUGGGAACGUUUGGCGGAGGCCCCUGUCAGAGAGGUCUUCAACUCCCACCUCCGACAGAGCUUCAACCGGGUCCCGAGGGAGGUGGGGGACAUCGAGUCUGAAUGGACUAUGUUCCGCGCCUCCAUUGUUGGGGCGGCGGUUCGGAGCUGCGGCCAUAAGGUCUCCGGCGCCUGUCGCGGCGGCAAUCCCCGAACACGGUGGUGGACACCAGAAGUAAGGGAUGCCGUCAAGCUGAAGAAGGAGUUCUAUCGGGCCUGGCUGGCUCAUGGGACUCCUGAAGCAGCUGACAGGUACCGACGGGCCAAACGGAGCGCGGCUCUGGCAGUCGCCGCGGCAAAAACUCGGGCUUGGGAGGAGUUCGGUGAGGCCAUGGAGGAAGACUUUCGGUCGGCCUCAAAGAGAUUCUGGCAAACCGUCCGGCGACUCAGAGGGGGGAAGCAGUGUUCCGCCAACACUGUUUACAGUGGAAGUGGUGCGCUGCUGACCUCAGCUGAGGAUGUCCUUGGGCGGUGGAAGGAGUACUUUGAGGAUCUCCUUAAUCCCUCCGACACGCCUUCCGUAGAGGAAGCUGAGGCUGGGGACUUGGAGGGGGACUCGUCCAUUACCCUGGCUGAAGUUGCUGAGGUGGUCAAAAAACUCCUCGGUGGCAAGGCUCCGGGGGUGGAUGAGAUCCGCCCCGAGUUUCUCAAGUCUCUGGAUGUUGUGGGGCUGUCUUGGCUGACACGCCUCUGCAGCAUCGCGUGGAGUUCGGGGACGGUGCCUUUGGACUGGCAGACCGGGGUGGUGGUCCCUCUUUUUAAGAAGGGGGACCGGAGAUUGUGUUCCAACUACAGGGGGAUCACACUCCUUAGCCUCCCUGGGAAAGUCUAUGCCAGGGUACUGGAAAGGAGAAUCCGCCCGAUAGUCGAACCUCGGAUUCAG
This is a long non-coding RNA of Scleropages formosus (Asian bonytongue), 1103 nucleotides long. The record is from Ensembl. Lineage: Eukaryota; Metazoa; Chordata; Actinopteri; Osteoglossiformes; Osteoglossidae.